UUAAGCGACUAAGCGUACACGGUGGAUGCCCUGGCAGUCAGAGGCGAUGAAGGGCGUGCUAAUCUGCGAUAAGCGCCGGUAAGGUGAUAUGAACCGUUAUAACCGGCGAUACCCGAAUGGGGAAACCCAGUGUGAUUCGUCACACUAUCAUUAACUGAAUCCAUAGGUUAAUGAGGCGAACCGGGGGAACUGAAACAUCUAAGUACCCCGAGGAAAAGAAAUCAACCGAGAUUCCCCCAGUAGCGGCGAGCGAACGGGGAGGAGCCCAGAGCCUGAAUCAGCAUGUGUGUUAGUGGAAGCGUCUGGAAAGGCGCGCGAUACAGGGUGACAGCCCCGUACACAAAAGCGCAUGUGCUGUGAGCUCGAUGAGUAGGGCGGGACACGUGGUAUCCUGUCUGAAUAUGGGGGGACCAUCCUCCAAGGCUAAAUACUCCUGACUGACCGAUAGUGAACCAGUACCGUGAGGGAAAGGCGAAAAGAACCCCGGCGAGGGGAGUGAAAAAGAACCUGAAACCGUGUACGUACAAGCAGUGGGAGCACCCUUUGGGGUGUGACUGCGUACCUUUUGUAUAAUGGGUCAGCGACUUAUAUUCUGUAGCAAGGUUAACCGUAUAGGGGAGCCGGAGGGAAACCGAGUCUUAACCGGGCGUUAAGUUGCAGGGUAUAGACCCGAAACCCGGUGAUCUAGCCAUGGGCAGGUUGAAGGUUGGGUAACACUAACUGGAGGACCGAACCGACUAAUGUUGAAAAAUUAGCGGAUGACCUGUGGCUGGGGGUGAAAGGCCAAUCAAACCGGGAGAUAGCUGGUUCUCCCCGAAAGCUAUUUAGGUAGCGCCUCGUGAAUUCAUCUCCGGGGUAGAGCACUGUUUCGGCUAGGGGCCAUCCCGGCUUACCAACCCGAUGCAAACUGCGAAUACCGGAGAAUGUUAUCACGGGAGACACACGGCGGGUGCUAACGUCCGUCGUGAAGAGGGAAACAACCCAGACCGCCAGCUAAGGUCCCAAAGUCAUGGUUAAGUGGGAAACGAUGUGGGAAGGCCCAGACAGCCAGGAUGUUGGCUUAGAAGCAGCCAUCAUUUAAAGAAAGCGUAAUAGCUCACUGGUCGAGUCGGCCUGCGCGGAAGAUGUAACGGGGCUAAACCAUGCACCGAAGCUGCGGCAGCGACACUCAGGUGUUGUUGGGUAGGGGAGCGUUCUGUAAGCCUGCGAAGGUGGCCUGUGAGGGUUGCUGGAGGUAUCAGAAGUGCGAAUGCUGACAUAAGUAACGAUAAAGCGGGUGAAAAGCCCGCUCGCCGGAAGACCAAGGGUUCCUGUCCAACGUUAAUCGGGCAGGGUGAGUCGACCCCUAAGGCGAGGCCGAAAGGCGUAGUCGAUGGGAAACGGGUUAAUAUUCCCGUACUUGGUGUUACUGCGAAGGGGGACGGAGAAGGCUAUGUUGGCCGGGCGACGGUUGUCCCGGUUUAAGCGUGUAGGUGUGUGUUCCAGGUAAAUCCGGUUCACUUUAACACUGAGGCGUGACGACGAGGCACUACGGUGCUGAAGCAACAAAUGCCCUGCUUCCAGGAAAAGCCUCUAAGCAUCAGGUAACAUCAAAUCGUACCCCAAACCGACACAGGUGGUCAGGUAGAGAAUACCAAGGCGCUUGAGAGAACUCGGGUGAAGGAACUAGGCAAAAUGGUGCCGUAACUUCGGGAGAAGGCACGCUGACAUGUAGGUGAAGUGAUUUACUCAUGGAGCUGAAGUCAGUCGAAGAUACCAGCUGGCUGCAACUGUUUAUUAAAAACACAGCACUGUGCAAACACGAAAGUGGACGUAUACGGUGUGACGCCUGCCCGGUGCCGGAAGGUUAAUUGAUGGGGUCAGCGCAAGCGAAGCUCCUGAUCGAAGCCCCGGUAAACGGCGGCCGUAACUAUAACGGUCCUAAGGUAGCGAAAUUCCUUGUCGGGUAAGUUCCGACCUGCACGAAUGGCGUAAUGAUGGCCAGGCUGUCUCCACCCGAGACUCAGUGAAAUUGAACUCGCUGUGAAGAUGCAGUGUACCCGCGGCAAGACGGAAAGACCCCGUGAACCUUUACUAUAGCUUGACACUGAACAUUGAGCCUUGAUGUGUAGGAUAGGUGGGAGGCUUUGAAGUGUGGACGCCAGUCUGCAUGGAGCCGACCUUGAAAUACCACCCUUUAAUGUUUGAUGUUCUAACGUGGACCCGUGAUCCGGGUUGCGGACAGUGUCUGGUGGGUAGUUUGACUGGGGCGGUCUCCUCCUAAAGAGUAACGGAGGAGCACGAAGGUUGGCUAAUCCUGGUCGGACAUCAGGAGGUUAGUGCAAUGGCAUAAGCCAGCUUGACUGCGAGCGUGACGGCGCGAGCAGGUGCGAAAGCAGGUCAUAGUGAUCCGGUGGUUCUGAAUGGAAGGGCCAUCGCUCAACGGAUAAAAGGUACUCCGGGGAUAACAGGCUGAUACCGCCCAAGAGUUCAUAUCGACGGCGGUGUUUGGCACCUCGAUGUCGGCUCAUCACAUCCUGGGGCUGAAGUAGGUCCCAAGGGUAUGGCUGUUCGCCAUUUAAAGUGGUACGCGAGCUGGGUUUAGAACGUCGUGAGACAGUUCGGUCCCUAUCUGCCGUGGGCGCUGGAGAACUGAGGGGGCUGCUCCUAGUACGAGAGGACCGGAGUGGACGCAUCACUGGUGUUCGGGUUGUCAUGCCAAUGGCACUGCCCGGUAGCUAAAUGCGGAAGAGAUAAGUGCUGAAAGCAUCUAAGCACGAAACUUGCCCCGAGAUGAGUUCUCCCUGAGACUUAGAGUCUCCUGAAGGAACGUUGAAGACGACGACGUUGAUAGGCCGGGUGUGUAAGCGCAGCGAUGCGUUGAGCUAACCGGUACUAAUGAACCGUGAGGCUUAACCUU
RNAcentral lists this ribosomal RNA (2899 nucleotides) under Salmonella enterica subsp. enterica serovar Panama. RNAcentral describes it as "bacterial LSU rRNA". It matches the Rfam family "Bacterial large subunit ribosomal RNA". Lineage: Bacteria; Pseudomonadati; Pseudomonadota; Gammaproteobacteria; Enterobacterales; Enterobacteriaceae. The record is from RNAcentral.